This is a non-coding RNA of Ornithorhynchus anatinus (platypus), 65 nucleotides long. Lineage: Eukaryota; Metazoa; Chordata; Mammalia; Monotremata; Ornithorhynchidae. The record is from Rfam.
UGCGCAUUAAUGAUGACUACACAGAAAACCUAUCAUGGAUUUGUGUAUAUCUGAUGUUUCGUGUA